This 1534-nucleotide ribosomal RNA is filed under the name Klebsiella pneumoniae. RNAcentral's name for it is "bacterial SSU rRNA". It matches the Rfam family "Bacterial small subunit ribosomal RNA". The record is from RNAcentral. Lineage: Bacteria; Pseudomonadati; Pseudomonadota; Gammaproteobacteria; Enterobacterales; Enterobacteriaceae.
UAGAGUUUGAUCCUGGCUCAGAUUGAACGCUGGCGGCAGGCCUAACACAUGCAAGUCGAGCGGUAGCACAGAGAGCUUGCUCUCGGGUGACGAGCGGCGGACGGGUGAGUAAUGUCUGGGAAACUGCCUGAUGGAGGGGGAUAACUACUGGAAACGGUAGCUAAUACCGCAUAACGUCGCAAGACCAAAGUGGGGGACCUUCGGGCCUCAUGCCAUCAGAUGUGCCCAGAUGGGAUUAGCUAGUAGGUGGGGUAACGGCUCACCUAGGCGACGAUCCCUAGCUGGUCUGAGAGGAUGACCAGCCACACUGGAACUGAGACACGGUCCAGACUCCUACGGGAGGCAGCAGUGGGGAAUAUUGCACAAUGGGCGCAAGCCUGAUGCAGCCAUGCCGCGUGUGUGAAGAAGGCCUUCGGGUUGUAAAGCACUUUCAGCGGGGAGGAAGGCGAUAAGGUUAAUAACCUUGUCGAUUGACGUUACCCGCAGAAGAAGCACCGGCUAACUCCGUGCCAGCAGCCGCGGUAAUACGGAGGGUGCAAGCGUUAAUCGGAAUUACUGGGCGUAAAGCGCACGCAGGCGGUCUGUCAAGUCGGAUGUGAAAUCCCCGGGCUCAACCUGGGAACUGCAUUCGAAACUGGCAGGCUAGAGUCUUGUAGAGGGGGGUAGAAUUCCAGGUGUAGCGGUGAAAUGCGUAGAGAUCUGGAGGAAUACCGGUGGCGAAGGCGGCCCCCUGGACAAAGACUGACGCUCAGGUGCGAAAGCGUGGGGAGCAAACAGGAUUAGAUACCCUGGUAGUCCACGCCGUAAACGAUGUCGAUUUGGAGGUUGUGCCCUUGAGGCGUGGCUUCCGGAGCUAACGCGUUAAAUCGACCGCCUGGGGAGUACGGCCGCAAGGUUAAAACUCAAAUGAAUUGACGGGGGCCCGCACAAGCGGUGGAGCAUGUGGUUUAAUUCGAUGCAACGCGAAGAACCUUACCUGGUCUUGACAUCCACAGAACUUAGCAGAGAUGCUUUGGUGCCUUCGGGAACUGUGAGACAGGUGCUGCAUGGCUGUCGUCAGCUCGUGUUGUGAAAUGUUGGGUUAAGUCCCGCAACGAGCGCAACCCUUAUCCUUUGUUGCCAGCGGUUAGGCCGGGAACUCAAAGGAGACUGCCAGUGAUAAACUGGAGGAGGGUGGGGAUGACGUCAAGUCAUCAUGGCCCUUACGACCAGGGCUACACACGUGCUACAAUGGCAUAUACAAAGAGAAGCGACCUCGCGAGAGCAAGCGGACCUCAUAAAGUAUGUCGUAGUCCGGAUUGGAGUCUGCAACUCGACUCCAUGAAGUCGGAAUCGCUAGUAAUCGUAGAUCAGAAUGCUACGGUGAAUACGUUCCCGGGCCUUGUACACACCGCCCGUCACACCAUGGGAGUGGGUUGCAAAAGAAGUAGGUAGCUUAACCUUCGGGAGGGCGCUUACCACUUUGUGAUUCAUGACUGGGGUGAAGUCGUAACAAGGUAACCGUAGGGGAACCUGCGGCUGGAUCACCUCCUUA